RNAcentral lists this unclassified non-coding RNA (462 nucleotides) under Bombus terrestris (buff-tailed bumblebee). Its description in RNAcentral is "misc RNA ENSBTSG00005024469.1". The record is from RNAcentral. Lineage: Eukaryota; Metazoa; Arthropoda; Insecta; Hymenoptera; Apidae.
UAAUUGCCAUUCACAAUUAGUACGAAGAAGGAAGAUGUAAUAAAAAAGGAAAAAGAAGAAAUGCAAAAAUCCAGAUUGUUUAAAAUAAUUCCAGAUCCAAGCAUUGAGGACCCGUAUUCAGCCGAGUUGUGAGCUUACCGUAUCGCGUUUUUGUACAUACAUGGUUCAAUACCUUCAGGUCGGCAUCAUAGGGCAGAGUUUUGUCCCAGAGGUUUGGGCCGAGGAAGGCGGCCUGCGCUUCCACGUUGCCCCAUAGUUCUCCAUCGGCGUCCUUCUUCUCUUCCGGUCCAUCUUUGCCUUUGCUUCAAAUCAAUGGUUCAAAACCUCAGAGCUUUAAAGAUUCUGCGCUUCAAAGAUUCAGUUCUUCAAAGCUUCGAAGAUUCAAAAAUUCAGAUAUUUGAAAUUCAGAAAAUUCGGAAAAGUCAGAAAAAUUUUUAUAUUCCGCUAGCACUCAAAUUCUGC